Paramisgurnus dabryanus is the source of this 1313-nucleotide long non-coding RNA. RefSeq lists it as uncharacterized. NCBI's taxonomy places the organism in Eukaryota, Metazoa, Chordata, Actinopteri, Cypriniformes, Cobitidae. The record is from RefSeq and is a predicted model, not a curated record.
GAGAAAAAAUUAUAAAUGCUGAAUGUGUCUCAUCUUAAAUACAUUGUUGUUGUUUUUGUUUCAUUGAUUUUGGAUGUUUUGAUGAUUUAAGGAAAAUUUACGUAGCAUAUAUAUUGAUGUUUUAAAUCAGAGUUUGUUAAUGACACUUAAUCAUUAACAAACAUUUAAAAAGCUUUAUUACAAUACUAAUUGAUAAUAUAUAUGUAAUAAUCUUGUUUUGUAACACCCUAAAUCACUGAGCGCACAAACGCUACCCCUGUUACAAGCAUGAGUGAUUGACUUCAGGCACACAUGCGCAGACAUUGAAGUACCGCGAGAGUGAUUCAAAAGCCCACGAAACAGUGUAAUCACGCGGUACUGUGAUGUCAUACUGGUUAAGGCUAAGCCACGUGAAGCCGGACACAAGGGCUUUGGGCUGGAGUAGCCUGUGGCUUUUAAGGCUUCGUGUCUCAUCGCAGAACGAUUUAUUUCUCUUUUUCACCUCGAUCUUUGGCCUCGUGUGAUUUACCAAAACCAACAUGUGAAGUUACAACGCUGACGAAGGAGUUUCAUCAGUAGAGUGUGUCCUGGAAAACGUGUGCUCGGAAACAUGCAGAAUACAGGAUUUACAGAGCCGACCUUGAGGCACCCACUGAUGGAUAAUCUGUUUACCUAAAAACAGCCCACCACAAUCCAUGUUUACCAGCUGUGAAAGUGCAGGCCAAAAAUCUUCCUUCACCUGUGGGCCUCUACCCACAUGUAGAUAAGCACUUCAGGAGAAACCUGCCUGUGAUCUGCUAAGAUGCACAGAUUCAACUCUGGCCCAUUGUCAUCCCAACACCUCAUCUGCCAUCAGUUUCGUUUAGUGUCGGUCUAUUGCAAAAGUUCUUAUAAACUUUAAAUGAGACUUUGUGUUAAGCAGGGGUUUCCAAACUUUUCAUUCCACAACAUAUUAAGCCCAGGAUACACAGCAGGAUUUUUGCAAUCCAAUAAGACCUUAUCACACUGUGUGACAAGGAUUGUUUAAACUUCAGCAGUAGACUGUCGAUGAAGACACCUAUUGCAUCUGAAGCUGCGACAUCUGUCAUCAACAUGCGCUAGUGGUAAACAAAUACAGGUAUGCAGGUCGUAGAAGCAAACACAUUGUUGAUGUGCGUUGAUCAUGCUGAACUUCUUACACUGUCAUAAAACUAUCGUAGGUGUCUUUGGUCCCAGGACUGGGAAAACAGACGUCUUUAAACCUCUCACACUGUAUGAGAUAGGACCACCAAUUAAGAGCCACGAUCACAGAAAUCUCCACAAUUGUUUCACGAUUGGUAAUCUUUCAACUUUUU